GAAUAAAGACAAAACACUAUGCUUUUCUCUUUUGUCGAUUAGAAGAACCAAAAGUUGGGAUUGGGGAUUAAAUUGAUAUGGUGAAUCGAAGGCCGAGCAGAACCAGAGGAGUUCGACAGGUGGAUCGGUAAUAUCAGUUCUCGGAACAGUGAAUGAAGGUCGAUCGAAAUCAGAGAAAUCGGAGAACUGCUUCCUCGAGAACCGGUGGACCGAGCUUUAUAGAGUACUGCUUCCUCGAGAACUGACAGAUAGUUCUUUCAUUCCGGUGGACCGAUCUUCGCUCACUGUUCCGAGAACUGCUUCCUCGAGUACCGAUUGGUGAUUCCGGUGAGGGCUAGGGUUACGAAUCGGAAUGACGCAAUGAUAUGAUCGAGCCACUAAUGAGUUUAUAAGGAGCAAAAUAUAUGUUAUUUUGAUCCCUAAAAUCCAGAGUCCUAAACUUCCACACUACUCUCUACUUUUUUUUUGUUUGAAGAAAAUCUCUCUCUUUAGAUUGUGGUAUGAUGGUGAUAUUACUAGAGAAGAACUCGGAUGUUGCAGUCAGAUAGUGUCUUCUUUUACACCUGACAGUACUCUGUAAAUGCAGUGAAGUAGUGUUGCUCAGGAGUAGCCAAGAGAUAUUGUGUGUGUUACUCGUGGAUGUUUCUACUUCUUCAGAAGAUAGAAAUUUAAGGUUAGUGUGUUCGCAUGCUAUCAAUGAUAUACAAGAUGCCUCAGUUGGUCUAGGACUUCAAGUUAUAAGGUUAGUCUUUUAUGGUUCCGCUUUUAAACUUGAUUCUGUCCCCAUGUUCCUAAUCUCUCUCUUACUUUCUGGUGGAGGCUACAAUUUAAGGAGGGCACAUAGUACAAUUUCAUAACAGGGAGCAUCGAGAAAACAACAGUUUUACUCAAAAUCAUUAAAAUCUUGGAUUCUCAAGCUACGCAACCUAUAUGUUCUUUGGGAAGGGAAAAUAUACAAAUGGAAAUGUUUGAGAAAGAAAUACGUGGUGGUCUGUAGCUGAAUAUAUUCCAGUAUAGUGUUAUCCAGUUUCAGAGCAGCACUCUUGGAGUAUGACAAUGGUUCAAGCUCCCAAAAACCGAGUGUCUUUUAUCAGGCAAUUAAAACCGUGUAAAGAUACAUGGCGUAUUGAGGUUAGGAUUCUUCGCUUGUGGAGAAAUUACAACAAAGAUUCCGGAAACACCAUCGAAAUGGUUUUCGUGGAUAAAGAAGGGACAAAAAUUCAUGCUUCAGUUGGUGAACAGCUCAUCAAACAAUUUGAAAGGAAACUAACCGAGGGCGAUGCGAAGGUCGUCCAAUUAUUCAAAUUGUACGAUGCUAAAAGUGAUUAUCGGACAAUCGCGCAUCCGUAAAAAAUUGGCUUCUUUCCAACAACUUUUGUUGGAACAGCUGAUGAAUUUCCGAGUGAAGUUCCGGAGAAGUAUUUUGCGGAUUACAAUGAUAUUGUUGGUGGAAAGCUUGAUAACAGUCGUUUGGUUGAUGUUAUUGGCCAAAUAGUUAACUUCGGAUCUCUUGAAAACAAAGUGAUUAAAGGAAAAGACAAUUUGAGGCUCUUGAUUGAGUUACGUGACCAAAAUAAUGUGAAGAUGAUGUGUACUCUUUGGGGCUGUUAUGCUAAACAAGUAUACAAUUACAGUAUGAUAAACAUGUCCACAAUGAUUAUUUGUGUUAUCAGGUUCUGUUCUAUUAAAGAGUGGAAAGGUGCUUACUCCAUAUCUAGCGGGUAUAAUUCAACCCAUAUUUUGCUCAACCCAACACUGGAUUUUAUCGAGGAGUUCAAAGCAAGUCUCCCUAAUGAUUCACUUGCUCUUACAAACAACGAUAGUAGCCAAUGGUCUGUUGGUACUGCUACAUCUGUUCGUGCUAGGUUUUUUGUUCUUAAUGAGAGGCUAACCAUAAGAGAGAUCAUUGAUAGUACUCUGGUUGGGAAUUUUGUCACUCGGGGCACUAUUGAAAGCAUAGAUGCUGAACGUGGCUGGCAAUAUCUAAGGCAAAUACCAGAACAAAAAAGUAAUGCCAACAACCAAUGUUGAUGCUGAUAACCGUCCCUUGUUCUUCUGCAAUACAUGUGAUAAAGAACACAUUGAGGUCAUAUCCAGACGAUUUCGGUGAGGCAAACUUUCUUUUAUUUGAUACCAAUGCUCAACUGAUUGUGCGUCAUUUUGCCGCUGAACUCUAUGAUGAGAAUGAAGAUCCCGAGUUCUUACCUGAAGCAGUUAGCGACCUUUUUGGCAAGAGAGUCCUUUUUGAGAUUUCAGUUGAUGCUGAUAACGUCAAAGGAAAGAGCUCUCAGUAUGUCGUUCGAUUGGCUACUGAUGACCGUGAAAUGAUUGAGGAAUUUACUGCUUUGCCUCCUAAACCGGUCCUAAUGUUGCAGUCCUCAGAUGAUAUUUCCUCUGGUUCUGGUGGUUUUUUCGGAACUCCUUUGUCUAAAAGAAAAAGCCAAGAAGAUCAAGACAAUAGCCUUGAGGAUCAACACUCUGUCAACAAGAAACAUUCUCAGAAGAAAGUCAAGGGCGAGUGAUCUCUCGGCUUUUUAAAAAGCUUUAUUUCCUAUUGUUAUGGCUUUGUCUGACUUCCGUAUUCUUAUUAUCAUUUCUUGAAUUUGGUCAAAGUACUUUUGAUUUUGGAUUUUUUUAAAAAAAUUUAAACAUUUAUUUGUUCCUCACUAAACAAGAUUGGCUUUCUGUGUUAUUCGUUAUUUUAUUUGGACA
Long non-coding RNA from Brassica napus (rape), 2712 nucleotides. RefSeq lists it as uncharacterized. Lineage: Eukaryota; Viridiplantae; Streptophyta; Magnoliopsida; Brassicales; Brassicaceae. The transcript is spliced from 14 exons. The record is from RefSeq and is a predicted model, not a curated record.